UACCUUGCGCAGUGGCAGUAUCGUAACCAGUGAAGGUCUCCUGAGGUGCGAUUGUUGCUAGUUGAAAACUGGUUACGAAAUAU
This 83-nucleotide small nuclear RNA is filed under the name Rhodnius prolixus. RNAcentral describes it as "U4 spliceosomal RNA". It matches the Rfam family "U4 spliceosomal RNA", at positions 1 to 83 of the family's 138-position model. From Rfam's summary of the family: U4 small nuclear RNA (U4 snRNA) is a component of the major U2-dependent spliceosome. Lineage: Eukaryota; Metazoa; Arthropoda; Insecta; Hemiptera; Reduviidae. The record is from Rfam by way of RNAcentral.